CCUACGGGCGGCUGCAGUAGGGAAUAUUGGGCAAUGGCGGAAACGCUGACCCAGCCAUGCCGCGUGCAGGAUGAAGGCCUUCUGGGUUGUAAACUGCUUUUACCAGGGAAGAAAAUACCUUUGCGAAGGGAACUGACGGUACCUGGUGAAUAAGCACCGGCUAACUCCGUGCCAGCAGCCGCGGUAAUACGGAGGGUGCAAGCGUUGUCCGGAUUUAUUGGGUUUAAAGGGUGCGUAGGCGGCUUGAUAAGUCCGUGGUGAAAGCCAACAGCUCA
RNAcentral lists this ribosomal RNA (275 nucleotides) under uncultured Adhaeribacter sp. RNAcentral's name for it is "partial 16S ribosomal RNA". It matches the Rfam family "Bacterial small subunit ribosomal RNA", at positions 338 to 611 of the family's 1533-position model. Lineage: Bacteria; Pseudomonadati; Bacteroidota; Cytophagia; Cytophagales; Hymenobacteraceae. The record is from RNAcentral.